Molecule: non-coding RNA, 21 nt
Filed under: Caenorhabditis elegans
Lineage: Eukaryota; Metazoa; Nematoda; Chromadorea; Rhabditida; Rhabditidae
Source: RNAcentral
UUUUGAUUUCUGGUUGAGCUA